UAAUUCCUAUUCAAUAGGUUUGGCACUUGGGGUAUAUGUUUCACUUAUGGAACAUUAUUUGCUGUAAAAGGGUUAAUUGCUGCUGGAAGUACUUACAACAAUAGUUCCUUCAUAAGAAAAGCAUGCAACUUUCUGUUGUCAAAGCAGCUAAGUACAGGUGGAUGGGGUGAGACUUAUCUUUCAAGUGAAACUAAGUCUUAUGUGGAUGCUACUAGUCCUCACGGAGUGAACACUGCUUGGGCAAUGUUGGCUUUAGUUUAUGCUGGGCAGGUUGAACGAGAUCCCACACCAUUGUAUCAUGCCGCAAAAGAAUUGAUGAAUAUGCAACUAGACACAGGGGAGUUUCCCCAGCAAGAACACGUUGGAUGCUUCAAUUGCUCCGUGUACUUCAAUUAUGGCAACUACUGCAACUUAUAUCCCAUCUGGGCUAUUGGAGAGUUUCAUCGUCGACUACUUGAGAAGAACUGAAACAUACGAACAUGAUAUGUUACAUCACUUCUCGUAGGUGUAACUGUGCCUAUUGCAAAAGGGGGUAUACACGAACUACAUAUAUGUAAAACAUACAUCCUUAGCACCAAUUGACUAAGGCAAAACACAUUAGAGAACAUUGGUAUCUUAUGUAUUGUAAUGAAAUCUAUAUCUAUUCCUACUAAUAAAGUAAGGUGAUAUACUUGGUUUCGUCUCG
Triticum dicoccoides is the source of this 685-nucleotide long non-coding RNA. RefSeq lists it as uncharacterized. Lineage: Eukaryota; Viridiplantae; Streptophyta; Magnoliopsida; Poales; Poaceae. The transcript is spliced from 4 exons. The record is from RefSeq and is a predicted model, not a curated record.